UACACUGGUGGCGACCGGCGCACGGGUGCGUAACGCGUAUGCAACCUACCCAUAACAGGGGGAUAACACUGAGAAAUUGGUACUAAUACCCCAUAACAUCAGGACCGGCAUCGGUUNUGGUUGAAAACUCCGGUGGUUAUGGAUGGGCAUGCGUUGUAUUAGCUGGUUGGUGAGGUAACGGCUCACCAAGGCAACGAUACAUAGGGGGACUGAGAGGUUAACCCCCCACAUUGGUACUGAGACACGGACCAAACUCCUACGGGAGGCAGCAGUGAGGAAUAUUGGUCAAUGGACGCAAGUCUGAACCAGCCAUGCCGCGUGCAGGAAGACGGCUCUAUGAGUUGUAAACUGCUUUUGUACGAGGGUAAACGCUCUUACGUGUAAGAGCCUGAAAGUAUCGUACGAAUAAGGAUCGGCUAC
Molecule: ribosomal RNA, 420 nt
Filed under: Alistipes sp. EBA6-25
Lineage: Bacteria; Pseudomonadati; Bacteroidota; Bacteroidia; Bacteroidales; Rikenellaceae
Description: bacterial SSU rRNA
Rfam family: Bacterial small subunit ribosomal RNA
Source: RNAcentral